AAAAAAAGUUUUCAGACUUCUUCACAGGUUUUUCCAUCAAACAGUAAUAUGCUGCUGGAUGAUGAGAAAUUAUCAAGUCUAGUUCUUUCGAAGGAUGGAUCUAUAAGAAUCUCGAUGUUUAUCCAUUCAAAAGAAGGAUUAUUACAGAAUGCAUGAUACACCAUAUUCCAAAAGAAGGGGAAAAAAUCAUUGACACUAAAUACUAUUACUAUUUGACAGUCUUCAAAUAUAAUAAAAUUUCAACUCUUAGAAUUCAAGUUUAAAUGCAAUUAUGAUUGCCAAGAACAUGGUGAAGGAAUGAAGUAUUCCAAUAACUUGAUGUAUAAUGAAAAGAUAAAAUUCUAAUUAAGGAAAGAUGGCAAAACACGUUGCAGAGUACUAACAUCACUUAUUGUCGGCUGAUG
Molecule: unclassified non-coding RNA, 404 nt
Filed under: Hevea brasiliensis (rubber tree)
Lineage: Eukaryota; Viridiplantae; Streptophyta; Magnoliopsida; Malpighiales; Euphorbiaceae
Source: RNAcentral